This 253-nucleotide ribosomal RNA is filed under the name uncultured bacterium. RNAcentral describes it as "partial small subunit ribosomal RNA". It matches the Rfam family "Bacterial small subunit ribosomal RNA", at positions 26 to 278 of the family's 1533-position model. The record is from RNAcentral.
AGGACGAACGCUGGCGGCGUGCUUAACACAUGCAAGUCGAGCGGUAAGGCCUCCUUCGGGGGGUACACGAGCGGCGAACGGGUGAGUAACACGUGGGUGACCUGCCCUCAGCUCUGGGAUAAGCCUGGGAAAACCGGGUCUAAUACCGGAUAGGACUGCUUGCCGCAUGGUGGGUGGUGGAAAGUUUUUUCGGCUGGGGAUGGGCCCGCGGCCUAUCAGCUUGUUGGUGGGGUGAUGGCCUACCAAGGCGGUG